Vicugna pacos (alpaca) is the source of this 302-nucleotide non-coding RNA. The record is from RefSeq and is a predicted model, not a curated record. Lineage: Eukaryota; Metazoa; Chordata; Mammalia; Artiodactyla; Camelidae.
UGGGUGAAAUGUGUGAAGGCAUCAAAAGGUACAAACUUCCAGUUAUAAAACAAAUAAGUCAUGGGGAUGGAAAGUACAGCAUGGUGACUAGAGUUAACAAUGCAUACUGUAUUGCAUAUUCGAAAAUUGCUAAGGUGGGUAAAUCUUAAAAGUUCUGAUUACAAAAAAAAAAAUUCUAACUAUGUGUGGUGCCAGAUGUUAAUUAGACUUACUGUGGUAACAUAUCACAAUAGAUACAUAUAUCGAAUCAUUAUGUUGUAUACCUGAAACUAAUAUAACACUGUAGGUCAAUUAUACCUCAA